This 240-nucleotide unclassified non-coding RNA is filed under the name soil metagenome. RNAcentral's name for it is "partial contains 5.8S ribosomal RNA, internal transcribed spacer 2, and large subunit ribosomal RNA". The record is from RNAcentral.
AACAAGGCGUACCUGCGGACCUGCGGAGGGAUCAUUAACGAGUGUAACCCACCCUUUUAAAAAAUGGGUGGUACCUCCCGUCCUUUGCGGGCCCCCUUCUUUUAUUAAGGGGGGGGCUUUUAAGACUUUCUGCUUCGGCGGGGUUAUUCCCGCCGGAACACCUUCAAAAAACUCUUGAUCAAAAAACUGUUCAGUCCGAGAAUUUUUGAAAAUUAAAACAAAACUUUCAACAACGGAUCU